RNAcentral lists this ribosomal RNA (506 nucleotides) under uncultured bacterium. Its description in RNAcentral is "partial 16S ribosomal RNA". It matches the Rfam family "Bacterial small subunit ribosomal RNA", at positions 28 to 523 of the family's 1533-position model. The record is from RNAcentral.
GAUGAACGCUAGCUACAGGCUUAACACAUGCAAGUCGAGGGGUAACGAGAGGAAAGCUUGCUUUCCUUGUCGACGACCGGCGCACGGGUGAGUAACGCGUAUCCAACCUGCCCCCAACUAAGGAAUAACCUUGCGAAAGUAAGACUAAUACCUUAUAAUUUCCUCAGAUGUCAUCUGACGAGGAAUAAAGAUGUAUCGGUUGUGGAUGGGGAUGCGUCUGAUUAGCUUGUUGGCGGGGUAACGGCCCACCAAGGCAACGAUCAGUAGGGGUUCUGAGAGGAAGGUCCCCCACAUUGGAACUGAGACACGGUCCAAACUCCUACGGGAGGCAGCAGUGAGGAAUAUUGGUCAAUGGGCGAAAGCCUGAACCAGCCAAGUAGCGUGCAGGAUGACGGCCCUAUGGGUUGUAAACUGCUUUUAUACAGGAAUAAAGUUAGCCACGUGUGGUUAUUUGUAGGUACUGUAUGAAUAAGGACCGGUUAAUUCCGUGCCAGCAGCCGCAGUAA